CUAUAAAUAAGGACCUCUUGUAUUGUAUUGUUCAUCUAAUAUCAAUAACAUAUUUUCUCCCGUGCCUUCUCACACUUGCUAACACAAAAGUGAACUAGGAACAAAGUGUAAGGCAAUGUGAUUUACUAAAAUUGUUAUGAUUAGUUUGUAGAUUUCCAUGGUAUGUUUUUUCAGGUAUCCCUAGGUCUUCUUCUGACAGUGUGCUUCUUCCUUAUAGUUUGUGCUUUUCAGAUCUAUUAUUUUGCCAUACCUCCAUUCAUCUCACCACAGUUUUGUGCUUGUAUGGGAACAAUUUCAAGCAUGUAGAGCAGUUCAUGAAUGAAGUUGUGAUUUUAACUAAGCUCCGCCACCAGCACCUCGUGACAUUAUACGGGUGCACAUCAAAACGAAGCCGAGAUUUACUGCUUGUUUAUGAGUACAUAUCAAACGUGACAGUGGCAGAUCAUCUGCAUGGAAAUCGGGCCAAAUCUGGUUUACUCUCUUGGCCUGUCCGAAUGAACAUAGCCAUUGAGACUGCUGAUGCUCAGGCUUAUCUCCACUCCUCAAUUAUAAUACACCGUGAUGUCAAAACCAACAACAUUCUAUUAGACAAUGAUUUCCAUGUGAAAGUUUUUGAUUUUGGGCUAUCAAGAUUGUUCCCAAAUAAUGUCACACAUGUCUCUACUGCUCCACAGGGUACACCAGGCUACGUUGAUUCUGAGUACUACCAAUGUUACCAGCUGACCAAAAAGAGUGAUGUCUAUAGUUUUGGGGUGGUCUUGAUAGAGCUGAUCUCAUCAUUACAAGCUGUGGAUACCAACAGGCACCACCAUGAUAUUAAUUUGGCUAAUAUGGCUGUCAACAAAAUCCAAACUCAUUCAGUACAUGAAUUAGUUGAUCCAAGUCUUGGAUUCAUGACAAACAGCUCUGUGAGGAGGAUGACUACAUUAGUCGCUGAGUCAGCUUUCCGAUGUCUGCAACAAGAAAGGGAUAUGAGACCUUCAAUGCAAGAAGUGCUGAAGACUCUGAGAGGCAUCCAGAAUGGGGAGUCAAUGCACACAAGGCUGAGGUCUUGACAUUGUGGUAGAUGAUGUUGGGCUCCUAAAGGGCUCGGGUUCCCCUUCCUCACCAUAUUCCAGUGGAUGAACUAUCAUUUUCAGUUAUCUUGGUAUACUACGAUAUGGUCUCUGGGAGAUUAUCUACUGCUGUUCGCAUAAGGAAUGUAAAUAUUGAAUGGAGCUGCCAACAUUCUAGUAUAUAUGCGCUGUAACUUUUAUGCUGCCAGGGGGUGAAGUUUAUGAAACACGUGGCUGGUAGUCUGACAACAAGGAAAAAUCAAUUAGUUGAGGAGCGAAAUGGCAUCAAUGGGGUGUGCACUCUUGAGAAAGGCUUGUCCAAUUGAAUAAAGAUAAUGAAAAGAGAUACACCUGUGUACUUCACCUGUCUACUCUCUGACUGUGUAGCACAUAUUCUAGUUUAUGUAUUAAAUGAGCUCUGGUUUUACUUUUCUGACCAUUGGACAAUAUCCUUCAGCCUGCUUGCUGUAGAAGAAAUGUUGACAAUUCAGGUUUUUCCCAACUGUUAGUUAUUGUUUUGAGUCUGCAAUGUCUCUUCUCUUAUGUAACUAUUGUUAAUUUACAGCAUGUAUACAGUGUAGUAUUGUCCCACAUUGGUAGAGGAGUAGUAUGUCCUUGUAUAGUAUAGCUAUAAAUAAGGACCUCUUGUGUAGUAUUAUUCAUUCAUUCAAUAUAUCAAUAACAUAUUUUCUCCCGUGCCUUCUCACA
This is a non-coding RNA of Nicotiana tabacum (common tobacco), 1763 nucleotides long. Lineage: Eukaryota; Viridiplantae; Streptophyta; Magnoliopsida; Solanales; Solanaceae. The record is from RefSeq and is a predicted model, not a curated record.